Molecule: ribosomal RNA, 1305 nt
Filed under: metagenome
Description: bacterial LSU rRNA
Rfam family: Bacterial large subunit ribosomal RNA
Source: RNAcentral
AAAAUCCGUGUCCCACAUAUCCUGAGAGGUGAUGCGUAGCCGUAGCGGCGAAAUCCAUGAUCCUAUGCUGCCGAGAAAAGCCUCUAGCGAGCUGGUACAUGGCCCGUACCCCAAACCGACACAGGUGGUCAGGUAGAGAAUACUAAGGCGAUCGAGAGAACUGUGGUUAAGGAACUCGGCAAAAUGCCCCCGUAACUUCGGGAGAAGGGGGACCAGUCCUGGUGACGACAUUUACUGUCUGAGCUGGGGUUGGUCGCAGAGACCAGAGAGAAGCGACUGUUUACUAAAAACACAGGUCCGUGCGAAGUCGUAAGACGAUGUACACGGACUGACGCCUGCCCGGUGCUGGAAGGUUAAGAGGACCGGUCAGCCACUUCGGUGGCGAAGCUGAGAAUUUAAGCCCCAGUAAACGGCGGUGGUAACUAUAACCAUCCUAAGGUAGCGAAAUUCCUUGUCGGGUAAGUUCCGACCUGCACGAAUGGCGUAACGACUUCUCUGCUGUCUCAACCACAGACUCGCCGAAAUUGCAGUACGAGUAAAGAUGCUCGUUACGCGCGGCAGGACGAAAAGACCCCGGGACCUUCACUAUAGCUUGGUAUUGGUGUUCGGUUCGGUUUGUGUAGGAUAGGUGGGAGACUGUGAAACUCGCACGCCAGUGUGGGUGGAGUCAUUGUUGAAAUACCACUCUGACCGUAUUGGACAUCUAACCUCGGACCAUGAUCUGGUUCAGGGACAGUGCCUGGUGGGUAGUUUAACUGGGGCGGUUGCCUCCUAAAAAGUAACGGAGGCGCCCAAAGGUUCCCUCAGCCUGGUUGGCAAUCAGGUGUUGAGUGUAAGUGCACAAGGGAGCUUGACUGUGAGACGUACAUGUCGAGCAGGGACGAAAGUCGGGACUAGUGAUCCGGCACCGGCAAGUGGAAGCGGUGUCGCUCAACGGAUAAAAGGUACCCCGGGGAUAACAGGCUGAUCUUCCCCAGGAGUCCAUAUCGACGGGAUGGUUUGGCACCUCGAUGUCGGCUCGUCGCAUCCUGGGGCUGGAGUAGGUCCCAAGGGUUGGGCUGUUCGCCCAUUAAAGCGGCACGCGAGCUGGGUUUAGAACGUCGUGAGGCAGUUCGGUCUCUAUCCGCCGCGCGCGUAAGAAACUUGAGGAAACCUGUCCCUAGUACGAGAGGACCGGGACGGACGAACCUCUGGUGUGCCAGUUGUUCCACCAGGAGCACCGCUGGUUAGCUACGUUCGGAAGGGAUAACCGCUGAAAGCAUCUAAGCGGGAAGCCUGUUCCAAGAUGAGGUUUCUCACCACCUA